CCUACGGGAGGCAGCAGUGGGGAAUAUUGCGCAAUGGGCGAAAGCCUGACGCAGCGACGCCGCGUGAGGGAUGAAGGUCUUCGGAUCGUAAACCUCUGUCAGCAGGGAAGAACGGUCACUGUGUUAAUCAGCAGUGAAUUGACGGUACCUGCAAAGGAAGCACUGGCUAACUCCGUGCCAGCAGCCGGGGUAAUACGGAGGGUGCGAGCGUUAAUCGGAAUUACUGGGCGUAAAGCGCUCGUAGGCGGUAUGUCAAGUCAAGGGUGAAAUCCCCGCGCUCAACGUGGGAACUGCCUUUGAAACGGGAAAACUGGAGUGUGUGAGAGGAUAGUGGAAUUCCAGGUGUAGGAGUGGAAUCCGUAGAUAUCAGGAGGAACAUCAGAGGCGAAGGCGACUAUCUGGCACAUAACUGACGCUGAGGAGCGAAAGCGUGGGUAGCAAACAGGAUUAGAUACCCCUGUAGUC
RNAcentral lists this ribosomal RNA (465 nucleotides) under uncultured bacterium. RNAcentral's name for it is "partial 16S ribosomal RNA". It matches the Rfam family "Bacterial small subunit ribosomal RNA", at positions 338 to 795 of the family's 1533-position model. The record is from RNAcentral.